AUGCAUAACUGUUGCGGGGUUAUAUGUACAACGCACAUCCCAUUUGGACCAAACUGCAACCAUGAGAAGAAUGAUAUCAUUCAGAUGCAGCUCGUCAUUGAUCCAGACAUGAGGUUCAAGAACAUUUGGUUGGGACCAGCAGGUAGCAUGAACCAGUUGAGCCUUUUGUAUGACUCUGAUGUCUUCAAGGAGUGCGAGAAGGGCUGUGGGCUGAAUGGCAGCAAGCUGAAGGUAGCAUUAGAUGGAUCAGAAGUCGGGGAGUACAUAAUUGGUGAUGCAGGAUAUCCUCUUCUCCCAUGGCUACUCACACCUUACCAGGAAGAAGACCUCUCAGAUUCCAAGGCAGAGUUCAAUAGGAGACAUUCUGCAGCCACAACCUGUGCUCUGAAGGCGCUGGCAAGGCUCAAAGAUACAUGGAAGUGCCUGCAAGGAGAGGCGUGGUGGCCAACCAAUCUGAAAAAUAUAAGUAGAAUGAUACAUGCCUGUUGCACGUUGCAUAACAUAGUCAUAGAAAUGGAGGAUGAUGCAGCCAUGCUGAGCACCAAGUGUGGGAAUUACUGUAAGGAAGUGCGCCAGUUAGCAAUUGAGGACGCUGUCAGGGCAAGGGAUAUGCUGUCGCAGCACUUCUUGGCCAGCAGGUCAUCCAAACUGGGA
This 654-nucleotide ribosomal RNA is filed under the name Triticum aestivum (bread wheat). RNAcentral's name for it is "partial small subunit ribosomal RNA". The record is from RNAcentral. Lineage: Eukaryota; Viridiplantae; Streptophyta; Magnoliopsida; Poales; Poaceae.